AGCCAUGCAUGUCUAAGUUCACAACAAAAGUUGAAACUGCGAAGCGCUCAGUAAAUCAGUUAUAAUCUAUUCGAUCGUCGUGUCACAUCGGAUAACUGUGGCAAAUCUAGAGCUAAUACGUGCAAAAUCACUGCGAUGCAGUGGCAUUUAUUAGUAAAAACACCUCGGUGUAGCUGAAUCUAGAUAACUGUGCAUACCGUCGCGUAAUGUGACGGUAGUUCGAUCGAGUUUCUGCCCUAUCAUGUUGUUUGUAAGUUAAGGGCUUACAAAGCACGUAACGGGUAACGGGGAAUCAGGGUUCGAUUCCGGAGAGGGAGCCUGAGAAACGGCUACCACAUCCAAGGAAGGCAGCAGGCGCGCAAAUUACCCAAUCCUGACACAGGGAGGUAGUGACGAGAAAUAUCGAACCAAUGAAUUCAUUGGUACCGAAAUAUUUGUGAUUUAAAGAAUCUAACUAUAAUUGGAGGGCAAGUCUGGUGCCAGCAGCCGCGGUAAUUCCAGCUCCAAUAGUGUACAUCAAAAUUGUUGCACUUAAAACGCUCGUAGUUGGAUUGCAAACCCCUGGCUGUUGCCGGUCUAUGACGGGUGACUGCACGGGGGAAAAGUUGCAGGACUCCGGGCUGAACUUAACUGGUCAGCGCGGAUGCGCCUGCAGAGCGUGCCUUGAAUAAAGCAUAGUGCUCAAAACAGGCGUAAGCUCGAGUGUGCUAGCAUGGAACGAAUAAACGCCACAUAGUGGUUGGUUAAGAGGAACAUUAGAGGGUGUUAGUACUUGGCGGCGAGAGGUGAAAUUCUUAGACCCGCCAAAGACUCACUAUUGCGAAAGCAUUCACCAAGAGUGUUUUUCAUUAAUUCAAGAACGAAAGUUAAAGGUUCGAAGACGAUCAGAUACCGUCCUAGUUUUAACCGUAAACUAUGCUAACACGGGACAAGCCCGCACCAUUUGUUGGUUUAUCCCCCCGCGAAAGCUGUAGUUUUCGAGCUGUGGGGAUAGUAUAGUCACAAGGCUGGAAUUUAAACGAAAUUGACGGGAUGGCACCACCAGGAGUGGAGCCUGCGGCUUAAUUUGACUCAACACGGGGCAACUUACCAGGUCCAGACAUUGGAAGGAUUGACAGACUGACAGAUCUUUCAUGAUUCAAUGAUUGGUGGUGCAUGGCCGUUCUUAGUUGGUGGAGUGAUCUGUCAGGUUGAUUCCGGUAACGAACGAGAUUCCAUUCCCUAGUUUCCUUCUCCGCCGAUUCUACGAUGCGGGGUGAAUAGGGAGACUGCACUCGCAAGAGUGAGGAAGUGGAGCAAUAACAGGUCUGUGAUGCCCUUCGAUGUCCUGGGCUGCACGCGCGCUACAAUGAAAACGGCAAAAAGUUCCUGCUCUGAGAAGAGCGGGCAAUCUUGCAAUUGUUUUCGUGCUAUGGAUUGAGCCUGGUAAUUAUUGCUCAUGAAAGAGGAAUUCCUCGUAAACGCGAGUCACCAGCUUGUGUUGAAUACGUCUCUGCCAUUUGUACACACCGCCCGUCGCUACCACCGAUUUAGUUCAUUGGCAAGAUGUAAGGAUUUG
Molecule: ribosomal RNA, 1558 nt
Filed under: Ceratomyxa tunisiensis
Lineage: Eukaryota; Metazoa; Cnidaria; Myxozoa; Bivalvulida; Ceratomyxidae
Description: SSU rRNA
Rfam family: Eukaryotic small subunit ribosomal RNA
Source: RNAcentral